AUUGAACGCUGGCGGCAUGCUUUACACAUGCAAGUCGAACGGCAGCGGGGAGGAGCUUGCUUCUCUGCCGGCGAGUGGCGAACGGGUGAGUAAUACAUCGGAACGUGUCGAGAAGAGGGGGAUAACCACCCGAAAGGGUGGCUAAUACUGCAUAAAUUCUGAGGAAGAAAGCUGGGGACCUAGGAAUAGGCCUAGCGCUUUUUGAGCGGCCGAUGUCGGAUUAGCUAGUUGGUGAGGUAAAGGCUCACCAAGGCGAAGAUCUGUAGCGGGUCUGAGAGGAUGAUCCGCCACACUGGGACUGAGACACGGCCCAGACUCCUACGGGAGGCAGCAGUGGGGAAUUUUGGACAAUGGGGGCAACCCUGAUCCAGCCAUGCCGCGUGUAUGAAGAAGGCCUUAGGGUUGUAAAGUACUUUUGUUAGGGAAGAAAAGUCAGCUGUGAAUAAUGGCUGAUACUGACGGUACCUAAAGAAUAAGCACCGGCUAACUACGUG
Molecule: ribosomal RNA, 494 nt
Filed under: uncultured bacterium
Lineage: Bacteria
Description: partial 16S ribosomal RNA
Rfam family: Bacterial small subunit ribosomal RNA
Source: RNAcentral